GAUGAACGCUGGCGGUGUGCCUAAUACAUGCAAGUCGAGCGAACAGACGAGGAGCUUACUCCUCUGACGUUAGCGGCGGACGGGUGAGUAACACGUGGAUAACCUACCUAUAAGACUGGGAUAACUUCGGGAAACCGGAGCUAAUACCGGAUAACAUAUUGAACCGCAUGGUUCAACAGUGAAAGACGGUCUUGCUGUCACUUAUAGAUGGAUCCGCGUCGCAUUAGCUAGUUGGUAAGGUAACGGCUUACCAAGGCAACGAUGCGUAGCCGACCUGAGAGGGUGAUCGGCCACACUGGAACUGAGACACGGUCCAGACUCCUACGGGAGGCAGCAGUAGGGAAUCUUCCGCAAUGGGCGAAAGCCUGACGGAGCAACGCCGCGUGAGUGAAGAAGGUCUUCGGAUCGUAAAACUCUGUUAUUAGGGAAGAACAAAUGUGUAAGUAACUAUGCACGUCUUGACGGUACCUAAUCAGAAAGCCACGGCUAACUACGUG
This 497-nucleotide ribosomal RNA is filed under the name uncultured bacterium. RNAcentral describes it as "partial 16S ribosomal RNA". It matches the Rfam family "Bacterial small subunit ribosomal RNA", at positions 28 to 507 of the family's 1533-position model. The record is from RNAcentral.